CUCUGAGGGACCCUGCACUUGCCUGAACUCGAGAGUGGGCGCUGCCCGAAGUUCUAGGGGAUGUAUGUGCCAUCCAUCGCAUCCCCACAAGUGCAAUCUCCAGCCUGUGCCCUGAGGUCACUUCCCGCAUCGCCCCAUCACCAUCAGGGCCUGUUCUUACUGCCUUCUGCUGUCCCCACAAGACUUGAAUUUCCUGACAGCAGGAACUGCGGCCUCUUCCGUGUGGACUCAAGAUGCAACUGUGCCCUGUGUGUGGAAGGUGUUUAAUAAAUGGAGAAUGGCACCUGCCUUGCCUAGACCUGGGAACACAGCGCUUGGAAGGCGUGGGGAGUGAAGGUCAAAGCCCCGCCCGAAGCAGAGACGCAAUGAUUAGGCUCAGGGAGGGCGAAGCACUGUGCAGCCUCGGGAGCCUGGGAGGUGGCUGUGAACUUGAAGGACAGUGUUGGUGUUCCUGAGGGUUCGGGGCCACGGGGCACAGGUUAGAGACCACAGAGUC
RNAcentral lists this long non-coding RNA (496 nucleotides) under Pan troglodytes (chimpanzee). RNAcentral's name for it is "long non-coding RNA NONPTRT010587". Lineage: Eukaryota; Metazoa; Chordata; Mammalia; Primates; Hominidae. The record is from RNAcentral.